GAUGAAGAACGUAGCGAAAUGCGAUACGUAAUGUGAAUCGCAGAAUUCAGUGAAUCAUCGAGUCUUUGAACGCACAUUGCGCCCCCUGGUAUUCCGGGGGGCAUGCCUGUCCGAGCGUCAUUGCUGCCCUCAAGCACGGCUUGUGUGUUGGGCCUCCGUCCUCCUCCCGGGGGACGGGCCCGAAAGGCAGCGGCGGCACCGCGUCCGGUCCUCGAGCGUAUGGGGCUUCGUCACCCGCUCUUGUAGGCCCGGCCGGCGCUUGCCGACACAUCAAUCUUUUUUCCAGGUUGACCUCGGAUCAGGUAGGGAUACCCGCUGAACUUAAGCAUAUCAAUAAGCGGAGGA
Molecule: unclassified non-coding RNA, 345 nt
Filed under: soil metagenome
Description: partial contains 5.8S ribosomal RNA, internal transcribed spacer 2, and large subunit ribosomal RNA
Rfam family: 5.8S ribosomal RNA (bases 1-120)
Source: RNAcentral